This 388-nucleotide ribosomal RNA is filed under the name Pyramimonadales sp. Its description in RNAcentral is "partial small subunit ribosomal RNA". It matches the Rfam family "Eukaryotic small subunit ribosomal RNA", at positions 582 to 975 of the family's 1831-position model. Lineage: Eukaryota; Viridiplantae; Chlorophyta; Pyramimonadophyceae; Pyramimonadales. The record is from RNAcentral.
AUUCCAGCUCCAAUAGCGUAUAUUUAAGUUGCUGCAGUUAAAAAGCUCGUAGUUGGAUUUCGGGCGGUUGACGACGGUCCGCCUCUGGUGUGCACUGCCGUUCUUCCGCCUUUCUGUCGGGGACGUGUUCCUGGCCUUAAUUGGCUGGGACGCGGAGUCGGCGAUGUUACUUUGAAAAAAUUAGAGUGUUCAAAGCAGGCCUAAGCUCUGAAUACAUUAGCAUGGAAUAACGCUAUAGGACUCUGGUCUUAUUGCGUUGGUCUUCGAGACCGGAGUAAUGAUUAAGAGGGACAGUUGGGGGCAUUCGUAUUUCAUUGUCAGAGGUGAAAUUCUUGGAUUUAUGAAAGACGAACUUCUGCGAAAGCAUUUGCCAAGGAUGUUUUCAUCA